This 691-nucleotide ribosomal RNA is filed under the name uncultured Bacteroidota bacterium. RNAcentral describes it as "bacterial SSU rRNA". It matches the Rfam family "Bacterial small subunit ribosomal RNA", at positions 62 to 754 of the family's 1533-position model. Lineage: Bacteria; Pseudomonadati; Bacteroidota. The record is from RNAcentral.
UCGAGGGGUAUAGUUCUUCGGGAUUAGAGACCGGCGCACGGGUGCGUAACGCGUAUGCAAUCUACCUUUUACAGAGGGAUAGCCCAGAGAAAUUUGGAUUAAUACCUCAUAGUAUAAUGACUCGGCAUCGAGAUAUUAUUAAAGUCACAACGGUAAAAGAUGAGCAUGCGUCCCAUUAGCUAGUUGGUAAGGUAACGGCUUACCAAGGCUACGAUGGGUAGGGGUCCUGAGAGGGAGAUCCCCCACACUGGUACUGAGACACGGACCAGACUCCUACGGGAGGCAGCAGUGAGGAAUAUUGGACAAUGGGCGCAAGCCUGAUCCAGCCAUGCCGCGUGCAGGAUGACGGUCCUAUGGAUUGUAAACUGCUUUUAUACGAGAAGAAACACUCCUUCGUGAAGGAGCUUGACGGUAUCGUAAGAAUAAGGAUCGGCUAACUCCGUGCCAGCAGCCGCGGUAAUACGGAGGAUCCAAGCGUUAUCCGGAAUCAUUGGGUUUAAAGGGUCCGUAGGCGGUUUAAUAAGUCAGUGGUGAAAGCCCAUCGCUCAACGGUGGAACGGCCAUUGAUACUGUUAAACUUGAAUUAUUAGGAAGUAACUAGAAUAUGUAGUGUAGCGGUGAAAUGCUUAGAGAUUACAUGGAAUACCAAUUGCGAAGGCAGGUUACUACUAAUGGAUUGACGCUGAUGGAC